CUACGGGAUGCUGCAGUGAGGAAUAUUGCACAAUGGGGGGAACCCUGAUGCAGCAACGCCGCGUGGAGGAUGACGCAUUUCGGUGUGUGAACUCCUUUUAUAUGUCAAGAAAAUGACGGUAGCAUAUGAAUAAGCACCGGCUAACUCCGUGCCAGCAGCCGCGGUAAUACGGAGGGUGCAAGCGCUACUCGGAAUCACUGGGCGUAAAGGACGCGUAGGCGGGUUGGAAAGUCAGGUGUGAAAUCCUACAGCUUAACUGUAGAACUGCACUUGAAACUUCUAAUCUAGAGUAUGGGAGGGGGAGAUGGAAUUAGUGGUGUAGGGGUAAAAUCCGUAGAUAUCACUAGGAAUACCUAAGCGAAGGCGAUCUCCUGGAACAUUACUGACGCUAAGGCGUGAAAGCGUGGGGAGCAAACAGGAUUAGAUACCCCAGUAGUC
Molecule: ribosomal RNA, 438 nt
Filed under: uncultured bacterium
Lineage: Bacteria
Description: partial 16S ribosomal RNA
Rfam family: Bacterial small subunit ribosomal RNA
Source: RNAcentral